GAGCACUGUCGCAAAAAGAGCUCCGUUGAAAAAAUUGCGUAUGCAAGAUUGACGUCUUUUAAAGGCUGCAUUGCAUAUAAAAAGAGAUAAUUGGUAUAGUGAUCAAACGUUAGAAAAAGAAGAUAUACUAAAAAGUUAUUUCCAUGAAAAAUCGGUUUAUAAAAUAUAAUAUAUGUGGAAAAGUACAUAAAAAAAAAAAAAAAAUGCACGUAGCAAGAUACAAAAUGACGAUGUGAUGUUUGUUUCUACGAGGCAGAGUAACUUGAUUUAGCCUCUCCUAGGCUUUGUCUGUAUAUAAGGAACAGAGACAUAGCCUAGAAUAGGUUAGGUCAGGGCUCGUUCAACAUGAUUAUCUUCGUACUACUUCUUGUGUUAAGGAGACACACCCAAGGUCAAGCUCAAGGUCAAAAAUCGGCCGGAAAUAUCAAAGGAACAUUGCAGCAUAGAUAUCAAAAAAUACCUGAUAAACCAUCAUUGCUUCUACAUCUCUGCCUGCCUCUACCAAAUAUCUUGGACUUUCUGGUAGAAAAAUGAGUCCAACAGUGGAGCAUAAUGCAGGACCACCAUCUCUCCAGUUGUAGGAACCACCACCCACGCUAGAAGAGCUGCAUAUACGCCUCCCAGUGCUCCUGCUGCUACUAACAAACCAAUCCAUCUGCUCCUGCUUAAUCUUGGACAACAUUCUGCGAGAUAUGCAAAUGCUAAUGGUAAAGAUCCUCCUACUCUGUAGUGAAAUAAAAUAAAUAAUUCAUAUCAAAUGAGCUUA
Long non-coding RNA from Frieseomelitta varia, 766 nucleotides. RefSeq lists it as uncharacterized. Lineage: Eukaryota; Metazoa; Arthropoda; Insecta; Hymenoptera; Apidae. The transcript has 3 exons. The record is from RefSeq and is a predicted model, not a curated record.